UACAGAGGCCUCAAGCGUUGUUCGGAAUUACUGGGCGUAAAGGGAGUGUAGGUGGCGAUGCAAGUCAGGUGUGAAAUCCCUGGGCUUAACCCGGGAACUGCAUUUGAUACUGUGUUGCUAGAGUGCGAGAGAGGAAAGCGGAAUUCCCGGUGUAGGGGUGAAAUCCGUAGAUAUCGGGAGGAAUACCAAUGGCGAAGGCAGCUUUCUGGCUCGUAACUGACACUGAGACUCGAAAGCACGGGUAGCAAAC
Molecule: ribosomal RNA, 250 nt
Filed under: uncultured bacterium
Lineage: Bacteria
Description: partial 16S ribosomal RNA
Rfam family: Bacterial small subunit ribosomal RNA
Source: RNAcentral